GCUGUUCUCCACACACCAUACCCCUUUUCUCUCCUCCAUCUCCCCUAUAGGAAGUCCCAUUCUCCCGCGUGUGGUGCAGUAACCGACAGCCCCUGCACUGUGCCUUCUCCCUGGAGCUCUACACGCCCACCACCACCCAGCUGUCCUGCAAAAUCUGCAUCCGGCAGCUCAAAGGCCAUGAACAGAUACUCCAAGUGCAGAUAUCCAUCCUAGAGAGUGAAAGAGAAACCAUCACUUUCUUUGCACAAGAGGACAGCAGUUUCCCUGCACAGACUGGCCCCAAAGCCUUUAAAAUCCCCUACUCUAUCAGACAGCGGAUUUGUGCUACAUUUGAUACCCCAAAUGCCAAAGGCAAGGACUGGCAGAUGCUAGCGCAGAAAAACAGCAUCAACAGGUAUGGUGGCAGCUUCUGAACGAUGAUUUUCUUAAGAGAACUUUAAAAAGACAGAACUGGUGGAGGUAACCAUGAUAUCUUUAUAGACUUUUCAGGCCUUA
This 495-nucleotide long non-coding RNA is filed under the name Ictidomys tridecemlineatus (thirteen-lined ground squirrel). RNAcentral's name for it is "lncRNA (ENSSTOG00000030538.1)". Lineage: Eukaryota; Metazoa; Chordata; Mammalia; Rodentia; Sciuridae. The record is from RNAcentral.